CCCCGGGCUCAACCUGGGAACUGCAUUCGAAACUGGCAGGCUAGAGUCUUGUAGAGGGGGGUAGAAUUCCAGGUGUAGCGGUGAAAUGCGUAGAGAUCUGGAGGAAUACCGGUGGCGAAGGCGGCCCCCUGGACAAAGACUGACGCUCAGGUGCGAAAGCGUGGGGAGCAAACAGGAUUAGAUACCCUGGUAGUCCACGCCGUAAACGAUGUCGAUUUGGAGGUUGUGCCCUUGAGGCGUGGCUUCCGGAGCUAACGCGUUAAAUCGACCGCCUGGGGAGUACGGCCGCAAGGUUAAAACUCAAAUGAAUUGACGGGGGCCCGCACAAGCGGUGGAGCAUGUGGUUUAAUUCGAUGCAACGCGAAGAACCUUACCUGGUCUUGACAUCCACAGAACUUUCCAGAGAUGGAUUGGUGCCUUCGGGAACUGUGAGACAGGUGCUGCAUGGCUGUCGUCAGCUCGUGUUGUGAAAUGUUGGGUUAAGUCCCGCAACGAGCGCAACCCUUAUCCUUUGUUGCCAGCGGUCCGGCCGGGAACUCAAAGGAGACUGCCAGUGAUAAACUGGAGGAAGGUGGGGAUGACGUCAAGUCAUCAUGGCCCUUACGACCAGGGCUACACACGUGCUACAAUGGCAUAUACAAAGAGAAGCGACCUCGCGAGAGCAAGCGGACCUCAUAAAGUAUGUCGUAGUCCGGAUUGGAGUCUGCAACUCGACUCCAUGAAGUCGGAAUCGCUAGUAAUCGUAGAUCAGAAUGCUACGGUGAAUACGUUCCCGGGCCUUGUACACACCGCCCGUCACACCAUGGGAGUGGGUUGCAAAAGAAGUAGGUAGCUUAACCUUCGGGAGGGCGCUUACCACUUUGUGAUUCAUGACUGGGGUGAAGUCGUAACAAGGUAACCGUAGGGGAACCUGCGGUUGGAUCACCUCCUU
RNAcentral lists this ribosomal RNA (931 nucleotides) under Klebsiella pneumoniae. Its description in RNAcentral is "bacterial SSU rRNA". It matches the Rfam family "Bacterial small subunit ribosomal RNA", at positions 601 to 1532 of the family's 1533-position model. Lineage: Bacteria; Pseudomonadati; Pseudomonadota; Gammaproteobacteria; Enterobacterales; Enterobacteriaceae. The record is from RNAcentral.